This 1487-nucleotide long non-coding RNA is filed under the name Homo sapiens (human). Its description in RNAcentral is "non-protein coding lnc-WDR72-6:1". Lineage: Eukaryota; Metazoa; Chordata; Mammalia; Primates; Hominidae. The record is from RNAcentral.
GCGAAGACAAUAAAGGAAUCAAUGAUAACCCGUAAGUGCUUAAGUAGCUGCAUAAAUGGUGGCACCAAUAACUGGCUGAAAAUCCUUUAUGGGACUUUGUUUCUCUCAGCACAGAGUCAAACUCCUCACGAUGGCCCACAAGGCCCUGUCUGCUGGUCCCUGGGUUUUUCCUGCCUCUGAUGAUUACAAGUUCAUGACCUUAAGAAUUAUUAUUAUUAGAAAUUAUGCCUUUAAUGUGGCUUCUUCCAAGGAUGAAGAUUGAAUUUUGUGUACACAUGAUAUGUGUAACAUCACAGCCACUUGGUUGGGGGUGGGGGCUUAGAGAGCUGUUGGUCAAAGGACACAAAAUUUUAGUUAGAAGGAAUAAAUUCAAGAGAUCUAUUGUACACCAUGUUUACCAUAGUUAACAGUAUAUUGUAUUCUAGAAAAAUGCUAAAAUAGACCCAUACAUAUAUGGUCAAUUUAAUUUUUUACAAUAAUAUGAAAGCAAUUCAAUGGAGAAAGGAAAAUCUUUCUAAUAAAUGCUGCUGGAACUAUUAAACAUAAAUAUGUAAAAUGUUAUCCUUGAUUCACACUUUACACCUUAUAUCAAACAAAAACAACCAGCAAAACAAUCCCCAAAAUUCUAAAUAAAAAAUAUGCCCAAAUAUAAAAGGUAAAACCAAUCUUUUAGAAGAAACACACCAAAAAAACCUCUUUGUGAUGUUGGUUUAACCAAGAGCAUUAUCCAUAAUUAGAAAAAAAAAAUGAUAAAGUAGACCAAAAUUAAAAACUUGCUAUAUGAGAUAUUCACACACUGCUGCUGAGGAUUUAACCCAAGGAACAUAAAAACAUAUGUUUACAACUAUAAUCCCAUGCUUAUUUAAAACAGUUUUAUUUGUAAGAAACCAAAAUUGUAAAUAACUCAAACAUCUCUCAAUGAGGGAAUGGAUAAAUCGAUAGCACUGGGGUAGUAGCUAUAGAAGAAAGUGAUGCCAAGCAGUAUUUUGAAGACUGUAAAAUCAAUAGCACAUACAUAGGGGAAAGUUGGCAAUUCAGGAGAGUGGAGAGGAUUGCUGGAACAAUAUUUUAGUGCACAAGAGAAGACAAAAUACAGAGGAGGUGGAUUUAUGGGGUAUAUAACUCUUAUGCCUCGAAGUCACUGAUCUCGAUGGAGUGAGCUGAAUAUUAACAGGAGGUGACAAAUUGUUCCUAAGCUGAAACUCCAAUUUUCUGAAUAAACUGCCAUCAUCAGAUUUAUACAUCAGUAUAAGAAAGUUUGAGUAUCAUCUCUGUGUUAACCUCUGUGGAGGCAAUAAAGGAGCCUAAGAAAUGAGCCCUGCCUUCCAGAAGCAUGCAAUCUUCUUAUGAAAUGCUCACCCUCUCGACCUCUUUUCCUCCAAGGAUGACCACAUGCCAUGGUUUUGGCCAAUGAGAUGUAGACAGCUUAUUAAAUCAAAUAGACCCAGCUACCAUACUACCAAUGACUUAUUGUUUUGAAAGAUUUA